Molecule: long non-coding RNA, 879 nt
Organism: Mauremys reevesii (Reeves's turtle)
Lineage: Eukaryota; Metazoa; Chordata; Testudines; Geoemydidae
Exons: 4
Source: RefSeq, a predicted model, not a curated record
CAACAAAAACAGCAUCCCAAGCCCAGUGCCCACCAAGCCCGGCACCCCAGGCAGUCACCUGGGUCUCCUGCCCCUAAAUCCGGUCCUGAUUACAACCCUGCUUGACUGCAAGGCCAGCUGGUACAGGUGAUCCUCGGAGCCAAGCUUUACCACUUACACAUGCAUGACUACCGCAUGCUAAACCCAGAACAAAAUACCCAGGCUCCAGCAUCCAGUCAGAUGUGACAGGAAAUCAGGACGGUAGUGGGAGACAGGUGCCGUUGUCAGCUGCCAACCAUUGAACCAGAGCCAGUGAUUCAGUUCCAUUCAGGUUCUCAUCUUAGAGGCUCACUAUUGUAGUACUGGUGCACCUUCCAGUAGUGCACUAAGCAAUGUGACUACACAUCUGUCACGUGUUGUUUGUUCUCUCAUCCUGUCCUAAGGGGAGAAGGCAUGUAGUGGAGUGUCUUGUUUUGGUAGUUUUGUUGUUGUGGGCUUUGUUUAACAAAUGUAUAGCUACAUGUAUACUUAGAGAAGACUAAGGCAAAGAAAAGUCUUACACAGGUCACAUGCGACCACAGGAGUCAGCCCACGCAGUGGAUCAGAGGUCAUCGAGCAUUGUAAUUGACAUCCUACAUGAGCAACAUUACGCAGCUGGGCAUAGAGGCAAAGGGGAACAGCUGAUGAGCACACACUGUGCUGCAUAGGGAAAGUUACAGAGCAAAUAGAAUUGCCAAGGGUGGAUUUCAAACCUUAUAGACUUCCACGUAGAAGUUAAGUACAUUGUGAAGCAAGAUGCCAGAGACAUACAUCAAACAAGAAGGAACAAAAAUCUGAUUGUGAAGGAGGGGAUGUUGAUUCGUCUGAGUCUAUAAUACACCCAUCUCAAGGUGCACUUUU